This 275-nucleotide ribosomal RNA is filed under the name uncultured bacterium. RNAcentral describes it as "partial 16S ribosomal RNA". It matches the Rfam family "Bacterial small subunit ribosomal RNA", at positions 338 to 606 of the family's 1533-position model. The record is from RNAcentral.
CCUACGGGAGGCUGCAGUCGAGAAUUUUUCACAAUGGGCGCAAGCCUGAUGGAGCGACGCCGCGUGGGGGAUGAAGGGCUUCGGCUCGUAAACCCCUGUCAUUCGCGAACAAUGGCGCCGGCCUAAUAUGCCGUCGUCUGAUAGUAGCGGAAGAGGAAGGGACGGCUAACUCUGUGCCAGCAGCCGCGGUAAUACAGAGGUCCCAAGCGUUGUUCGGAUUCACUGGGCGUAAAGGGUGCGUAGGUGGCGGUCUAAGUCGGGUGUGAAAUCUCCGG